UGGGGGAUAUUGUACAAUGGGCGAAAGCCUGAUGAAGCGACGCCGCGUGGGGGAUGAAGGCCUUCGGGUUGUAAACUUCUUUUGCUCUGAACAAGGCAUGCCUUUGGGGUGUGUUGAGUGUAGGGGGUGAUUAGCGCCGGCUAACUACGUGCCAGCAGCCGCGGUAAUACGUAGGGCGCGAGCGUUGUCCGGAAUUAUUGGGCGUAAAGGGCUUGUAGGUGGCUGGUUGCGUCUGUCGUGAAAGCUCAUGGCUUAACUGUGGGUUUGCGGUGGGUACGGGCUGGCUUGAGUGCAGUAGGGGAGGCUGGAAUUCCUGGUGUAGCGGUGGAAUGCGCAGAUAUCAGGAGGAAUACCGGUGGCGAAGGCGGGUCUCUGGGCUGUUACUGACGCUGAGGAGCGAAAGCGUGGGGAGCGAACAGG
RNAcentral lists this ribosomal RNA (420 nucleotides) under Fusobacteriota bacterium. RNAcentral describes it as "Fusobacteria bacterium partial 16S ribosomal RNA". It matches the Rfam family "Bacterial small subunit ribosomal RNA", at positions 355 to 776 of the family's 1533-position model. Lineage: Bacteria; Fusobacteriati; Fusobacteriota. The record is from RNAcentral.